This 576-nucleotide ribosomal RNA is filed under the name uncultured eukaryote. RNAcentral's name for it is "SSU rRNA". It matches the Rfam family "Eukaryotic small subunit ribosomal RNA", at positions 174 to 757 of the family's 1831-position model. The record is from RNAcentral.
UAAAAACCCCGACUUCGGAAGGGGUGUAUUUAUUAGAUACAAAACCAAUGCCCUUCGGGGCUCUUUGGUGAUUCAUGAUAACUAUACGAAUCGCACGGCCUUGCGCCGGCGAUGGUUCACUCAAAUUUCUUCCCUAUCAACUUUCGAUGUUUGGGUAUUGGCCAAACAUGGUUGCAACGGGUAACGGAGGGUUAGGGCUCGACCCCGGAGGAGGAGCCUGAGAAACGGCUACUACAUCCAAGGAAGGCAGCAGGCGCGCAAAUUACCCAAUCCCGACUCGGGGAGGUAGUGACAAUAAAUACUGAUACAGGGCCCUUUCGGGCCUUGUAAUUGGAAUGAGUACAAUUUAAAUCCCUUAACGAGGAACAAUUGGAGGGCAAGUCUGGUGCCAGCAGCCGCGGUAAUUCCAGCUCCAAUAGCGUAUAUUAAAGUUGUUGUGGUUAAAAAGCUCGUAGUUGAACCUUGGGCCUGGCUGGCCGGUCCGCCUCACCGCGUGCACUGGUCCGGCCGGGCCUUUCCCUCUGUGGAACCCCAUACCCUUCACUGGGCGUGGGGGGGGAAACAGGACAUUUACUU